This 1030-nucleotide ribosomal RNA is filed under the name Massalongia carnosa. RNAcentral's name for it is "LSU rRNA". It matches the Rfam family "Eukaryotic large subunit ribosomal RNA", at positions 69 to 1116 of the family's 3401-position model. The record is from RNAcentral. Lineage: Eukaryota; Fungi; Ascomycota; Lecanoromycetes; Peltigerales; Massalongiaceae.
CAGGGAUUGCCUCAGUAACGGCGAGUGAAGCGGCAACAGCUCAAAUUUGAAAUCUGACCCCUUUGGGGGCCCGAGUUGUAAUUUGUAGAGGAUGUUUCGGGCGCGAUGCCGGUCUAAGUUCCUUGGAACAGGACGUCAUAGAGGGUGAGAAUCCCGUAUGCGACCGGCGAUCAAGUCCAUGUGAAACCCCUUCGACGAGUCGAGUUGUUUGGGAAUGCAGCUCAAAAUGGGUGGUAAAUUUCAUCUAAAGCUAAAUACUGGCCAGAGACCGAUAGCGAACAAGUAGAGUGAUCGAAAGAUGAAAAGCACUUUGGAAAGAGAGUUAAACAGUACGUGAAAUUGUUGAAAGGGAAGCGCUUGCGAUCAGACUUGCUCGGGGGCGAUCAGCCGUUAUUCUUAGCGGUGCACUCGCCCGCGAACAGGCCAGCAUCGGUUUGGGCGGUGGGAUAAAAGGCUCGGGAAUGUAGCUUCUUUCGGGGAGUGUUAUAGCCCGGAUCGCAAUGCCGCCAGCCCGGACCGAGGACCGCGCUUCGGCUAGGAUGCUGGCGUAAUGGUCGCAAGCGACCCGUCUUGAAACACGGACCAAGGAGUCUAACAUCUAUGCGAGUGUUUGGGUGUUAAACCCAGGCGCGGAAUGAAAGUGAACGGAGGUGGGAGCCCGUCAAACGGCGCACCAUCGACCGAUCCAGAUGUCUUCGGAUGGAUUUGAGUACGAGCAUAGCUGUUGGGACCCGAAAGAUGGUGAACUAUGCCUGGAUAGGGUGAAGCCAGAGGAAACUCUGGUGGAGGCUCGCAGCGGUUCUGACGUGCAAAUCGAUCGUCGAAUCUGGGUAUAGGGGCGAAAGACUAAUCGAACCAUCUAGUAGCUGGUUCCUGUCGAAGUUUCCCUCAGGAUAGCAGUAACGUUUUCAGUUUUAUGAGGUAAAGCGAAUGAUUAGAGGCCUUGGGGCUGAAACAGCCUUAACCUAUUCUCAAACUUUAAAUAUGUAAGAAGUCCUUGUUACUUAGUUGAACGUGGACAUUUGAAUGC